ACUCAAAUGAAUUGACGGGGACUUGCACAAGCGGUGGAACAUGUGGUUUAAUUCGACGCUAAACGAAGAACCUUACCAGGGUUAGAAAUCCAGACGAAUACCAGCAGAAACGUUGGUAGCCGAAAGGCGGCUGGACAGGUGCUGCAUGGCUGUCGUCAGUUCGUGGUUUGAACUGUUCCCUUCAGUGGGGUAACGAACGCAACCCCUGUUGCCUGUUAUAAGUGUCAGGCGAGACCGCCCAGCCCUUUGAAUUUUUCUGUGAAAAAUUUAAAGGGCUGGGAGGAAGGUGGGGAUGACGCCAAGUCAGCAUGGCCCUUUGACACCCUGGGCUACACACGUGUUACAAUCGCAUCUACAACGGGACGCAAUAUCGUAAGAUGGAGCAAACCCUUAUAAAAGAUGCGCCAGUUCGGAUUGAGGUCUGCAACUCGACCUCAUGAAGCCGGAAUCGCUAGUAAUCGCAGGUCAGCUAUACUGCGGUGAAUACGUUCUCAAGUCUUGUACACACCGCCCGU
This 515-nucleotide ribosomal RNA is filed under the name uncultured bacterium. RNAcentral's name for it is "partial 16S ribosomal RNA". It matches the Rfam family "Bacterial small subunit ribosomal RNA", at positions 899 to 1397 of the family's 1533-position model. The record is from RNAcentral.